RNAcentral lists this long non-coding RNA (1904 nucleotides) under Gallus gallus (chicken). Its description in RNAcentral is "lncRNA (ENSGALG00010019937.1)". Lineage: Eukaryota; Metazoa; Chordata; Aves; Galliformes; Phasianidae. The record is from RNAcentral.
GCAUGUGCACAGUCACUUCUGCCCAAACUACUUUGAGAAAGCAAGCUAUUGUUUACAAGUUAUCAGGCUAGAACUUAACAGGUUGAUACCAACUUUAUCUGUUGCUGAAGCAGUCGUAGUUUGGUUGAAAAGUGCGUGCCGUCCUCCUUUCACCCAGACUCGGAAUGCAGAGUCCUAUUCAAAUAUUCAGAAGUACUGUGUCACUUUUUAACACAGGAUAUGCUUUCUCUGCUGACUGAGCCCUGUCCAAAUGUACCAAGACCUUGACUCACUCAAACGUGUUGGGACCAGCAGAGGGAGCAGCAAACAGCCUGCAACUUCGUGUGAAGGCCAACUUCUGAUUUGGCGUCAGACGUGAAACCCUAAACAAAAUGAGCAGUGACUAUUUUGAAGCCAUGCUAGUUCCUUAUACAAAUGCUUUGGCAAACCAUUUUGCAGAAGAGUUUUCCUAGAGGUCAGCAUAGCAAAGAAGACAAAGUUUGGAGUCUGAGUUAACACCAGUAUUUGUGCUGCAAAAAGUCUCUGUUCAUGCUCCAAGAACUCCUAUAGGCAUUGCCUCAGAUUCUUGACCCCAACUCUCAAGGCAAACUAACACCAUUCACACUGAUCUCCCUCCCAGUCUCAGGGAUGAAAAGUAACAUUUUUAACAACUUGAGACUUACUGGGAAGGUGAUAAUCCUACACCAAAAUACAGACUUCUGCCUCAGAAGUUGUGGGGGCUAAUUUUCAGAGGUGCUAAACAUUCAGCUUGAUAAAUGAAGGUGCAGACCAUAAAGACACUUCUAGCUUUACAGCAGACAUCCUGUAUUACGUGCAAUAGGUUGUCUCAUUGCUUUGUCUUGCUUCCUCUGCUAGUAAAUGAGUUACAGCCUGCCUUUUUCCUGAAACCAAAACCAAUUUUUAAGAUAUCAAAGCUUAUAGGACCCUUCAGAGGCUACAUCAACAAAGUACUUCAUAGAUUAGAAAUGUGGGGUUUUUUUGCAGACACCAUUCAUCCAAGUUUCAUUUCAAAGGCAGUCAGGAACCUCAGACUGCAACCUGAAGUCUGUUUCAGUUUUUUGCAUUAGUUAUGAAUGAAGAUCCACGUUUAGAAUGGCCUGCAGCCAUUUAGCACUAACAGAAUGCUAAAACAGUAGCAGUUUGUCAAAAGAGUAAAUAGAUAUAGGAAGUUGCAACAGAAAAAAUGCAGAGAUUAAGAUAAAAAUUGUUAUUAAUAUCUCCACUGCACUUAAGUCCCAAGAGUUCCUCAUCAGUGACUACAAGUGGGAAAACCAUAGGCGGUGCAGAAGCAGAGGCCCCAGUUUUAGAUGAAAGGGAAUCAAUCUCAUGCUACACAUUCCCAUGUUGCAACAGGCUGAAUGAGAAAUCGCCUUUACACAGGUAACAGCACCCUUGGACACAGUCACUUCAAACCAAGAUGAAUUCUGCUCAUCUACGUGCAUACCAACACUGUGAGCAGUGGAACUUGAUCAAUCCAACCAUCACAUGGACACCAAGAUUUAAAUAACACUGCAAAACAGAAGCAGUACCACAGGCUCAUUUUUAUCUACUUAGUCCUCAUCUAACAGAACAGGGGCAGCCAAGUUCUCCAAGCUUGCCUCCAACCACAUACAGUGCAUGUCUGUCACCAGCAUUUAAGGGCAGGUGGCCCUAUCUUCUCAAGGCCCUUCUGACAUUUGCAAUAGCUACAACAGCCCACAGGUACCAGUAGAAAUGGUAUGUUGUUUUUUAUCGCUCUUUUUACACUCCCCCAGGCUAUUUCAGUAGGCAUUUCGGUAGUUACCAGACAAAGGAGAAGGAUUACUGUUUCAAGCUUUUUUCUUCAAGCUUUAAAAAAACAAACAAACAAACAAACACGGAAUGACUAAUAUUAAGUACAUUAGUCUGUCAGCCUUUUACCAAAC